RNAcentral lists this ribosomal RNA (379 nucleotides) under uncultured eukaryote. RNAcentral's name for it is "partial 18S ribosomal RNA". It matches the Rfam family "Eukaryotic small subunit ribosomal RNA", at positions 592 to 976 of the family's 1831-position model. The record is from RNAcentral.
CAAUAGCGUAUAUUAAAGUUGUUGCGGUAGAAAAGCUCGUAGUUGGAUUUCUGUUGAGAGCGACCGGUCCAUACCAUGUAUGCGUAUCUGGCUUGCUCUCGGCAUCCUCUCGAUAGACGUUACUGCGCUUGAUUGCAUGGUGCGGAUCUCGGGACUUUUACUUUGAGGAAAUUAGAGUGUUCACGGCAGGCUUUCGCCAGAAUACAUUAGCAUGGAAUAAUACUAUAGGAUCUUGGUUCUAUUUUGUUGGUUUCUAGAAUUGAGAUAAUGAUUAAUAGGGACAAUUGGGGGCAUUCGUAUCAACACGUCAGAGGUGGAAUUCUUGGAUUGUGUUGCGACGAACUACUGCGAAAGCAUUUGCCAAGGAUGUUUUCAUUGA